Long non-coding RNA from Lycium ferocissimum, 2651 nucleotides. RefSeq lists it as uncharacterized. NCBI's taxonomy places the organism in Eukaryota, Viridiplantae, Streptophyta, Magnoliopsida, Solanales, Solanaceae. The record is from RefSeq and is a predicted model, not a curated record. The transcript is spliced from 5 exons.
UAUGGACACUCUCGCGCCAUUAUUGUAGUUUCUUAUUCUCUAAUUUCAACCCACGUUUAGCAUAUCAAUACUUAUAUGUAAAUCUCAACUGAAAGAAAAUCUCAAGCUACAGUAUCCCCCAAUUUGUCUGUCACUCUUGAAUUUUAAGUUUCACAAUCCUUUCAGCUAACUGCUUUGAAAUCGCAGAUAUGGCACCUAGGGGAGGUGGACCAAGUAGAUAUUCUGAAAAAGGAAUGUGAAUCCGCUGUCAUCCCAUCCUAUGUUUACUCUCGCACCUAAUCAAACACCAAUAUCACCUGAAUCCUCGGCACCAGAAACACCACAUUCAGUCGCAACAGUCAAUAGAUCUGUACCAUCAUCAUCUUCUGGGCUUGAUACACCUAGAGAUGAAAUAGGAUCAGCAAGAUCUUCAAAUACAAUUGAUGGUACUCAUAUCCAAAUUGAAAUCGUCCUUGGAGGGUAAGAGUACAAGUGCCACACCAUUUACAUUUUUAUUAAUUUUGGUUUCAUGCUUAUAUUGUAUGUAUCAAUCCAUCUUUGUGAAUUGAUAUGAGAUUGAUGUUUAGCAUCUGCAUAUAGUAUACAUAGUCUGGACUAAUGGUUUGGGGACGAUUUUCUUGUUAUUGACAUGUAAAAAAACUUAUUUGUUUUAAAGAAGACAAUUUAGUUGUCAUACCAUGUUUCUGAAUAAAAUGACUUUGAUUAUGAGUGGAUAGUCUAUGAGUAAUUUUGACUACAAAAAUCUUCCUGUGAUAUUAUCAAACAACAAGAUCGUCUCUCACUAUCUACAUAUAAAGAGGUUGAAUUUUGAACUAGUAAUUAUUUCAUUUUCAUUAAGUCUAUGAAGAAAGAAUGUUGCGGUCUAUAGAUGUCUACGUUGAGCUCUUAUGCAUAUGCAAUCUUUGUGCUUUGAUAGUUGUUGUUCUGCUCUAGCACCAGGACGUUCUUACAAAGAAACUAGAGGAAUGGCACGAGCCUCUUAUCUUUUUAAAUAUGGCAGGCCAAGGACUUCAAAUGAAUAGGCCAUUUGAUUUAUCUGUUGUAGCAACAAGGUGCUCUUGUUCAAGAAAUGGGAGAAAGUUGAGAGCUUAUCCUUUUUCAAUAUGGUGCAAUGGUUGCAAAUCAAUAUAUGCUUAUGGAGUUGUCUUAUUAGUCAAACCAUUUGUCUUAUAUUUUAUAUGAAGUAAGGCGACUGUGGCGAUGAGUAGUACUAAAACAGUGGUAGAAUUGAUGGCAUUAUUAAGGCCUUCAACAUGAAUUUAUCUAUGUGUUUAGCAAUGCCGCGUAUAUGAUUUCUUGUAUGUGGUGUAUGUUUCAUUUGAUAGUGCACUUCAUGUUUCCAUGUCAUUAAUUGUUUGCUUAAAUUCUCUUGAUGACUUUGUUGCCUGAGACUCGACGCUCACGCACUUUGUACACAUGUUCCCUUUAGAAUGGCUGCAAUAUUAUCUUGUCCCAGUUUCUAUGUAGUAUCAAGGGUUGUUUCACUGGACCUAUUGUAGUAGCAAGUAAUCUGCCUUAUUUUUUCGCUUAUGUGUUAUCUUUUACCUGACUGGUGAGUGUAAAAUUGUUAGGCUUAUCACUUAUUCAAGCCCGGAUCCAAAUAAUAAUGUAGCUCGAGCAGUCACAAAAAUCUUCAAGGAGAAGCUGGAUCACGAAGGACAUAAUUGGAAAUUCGUUACACCAGAGACAAAGGAUUUCUAUUGGGAGGAGUUUAAGAAAAGAUUUCGAUGGGAUAUUGCAAUUGAAGGUUCCAUAAAGGAUGCGUUUAUGAGCAUAUGUGCAGAACAAUACAAGGGUAUGUUAUCUGAAGCAAGAGCAUGUGAGAAGAAGCGCAAACAUAUCUUAGUAUCUAUUUGGGAUAGCUGGAAGCCUCAUUGGGAGACUAAGGCUUUAAAUCCAAGUUUGCACAAUGUUCAAAAAAUCGACUAAGUGAAAAAGGUGGCGAAGGAUCUGGCCCCUCACGCCAUACAGGAAGCUCUAGAACUCACCGAGAACAUGCAAGACUACUGGGUAUAGAUCUAGAAAGACCACCUCAUCCACAUGAGCUUCUGAAGAAGACACAUCUCAAGGCGAAUAAUGAGUUUGUGGACCAGAAGUCUAAGAGCACAUAUCUUGAAGAUGGAUCCCAUGAGCCUCCAACGGUUAAUUUCUCGCAAAUUUAUUUGGAUGAAGUUGGCGGGGUUAAGAAGACGCGCAUUUAUGGUCUUGGUUGUCAAGCACCUCUUUAUAGACAUGUUGGUGCAUCCUCCACUUCAACAUCUUGGCAUCCAGAUCUAGACUUUGAUGCUCGGGUGAAUGAAUGUGUCAGACAAUGUAUGCAAGAAAUGAAGGAAGAGAUGAAGAAUGAGAUGAGAGCAGAGAUCAGAGAAUCAAGAAAUGGAAGAAGAAAUGCGACAAGAAUUGCGUGAAGAAUGAGACAAGAAGUGCAGCAAGAGGUGACUGAGCAAGUUGAUCAAAUACUCCAAUCACGUAUGUCUCUCAUCAUAGCCGGCUUACCUAGCUACACCUUCUUCUCGUAGACGUGACUCUUCAUCAAAUAAUGACAAGAAUCCUAUUUAGAUUUAUUUAGAGUCUUUUAUGUUAGACACACUUUGGAUCGUUUAUUAACUUUAUGAUGGAUGUUAUUGUUUAAGAAAUAGCUAUAGUUUUUU